GAAUGCGAUCAUACUAGCACUAAAGCACCGGAUCCCAUCAAAACUCCGAAGUUAAGCGUGCUUGGGCGAGAGUAGUACUAGGAUGGGUGACCACUUGGGAAGUACUCGUGUUGCAUUCC
RNAcentral lists this ribosomal RNA (119 nucleotides) under Triticum aestivum (bread wheat). The record is from RNAcentral. Lineage: Eukaryota; Viridiplantae; Streptophyta; Magnoliopsida; Poales; Poaceae.